UACAGAGGGUGCAAGCGUUAAUCGGAAUUACUGGGCGUAAAGCGUGCGUAGUCGGUUAUCUAAGUCGGAUGUGAAAUCCCCGGGCUCAACCUGGGAAUUGCAUUCGAUACUGGAUAGCUAGAGUUCGGCAGAGGGAAGUGGAAUUUCGGGUGUAGCGGUGAAAUGCGUAGAUAUCCGAAGGAACAUCAGUGGCGAAAGCGACUUCCUGGACCAGAACUGACGAUCAGGCACGAAAGCGUGGGAAGCAAACAGG
Molecule: ribosomal RNA, 253 nt
Filed under: uncultured bacterium
Lineage: Bacteria
Description: partial 16S ribosomal RNA
Rfam family: Bacterial small subunit ribosomal RNA
Source: RNAcentral